CCAUAACUCAGUAUGGAUCCUCAGGACAGGACGGAAAAGUUGUGCUUCCAGACGCUGCACUUGGUGGAUCAGCAGGCACCAUCCAGAUCGAUAAACUGGCUCAUCUGAUCUUAUGGUCUGCACUCAGGAAUUGACUCAGCCCAGGAGGACAGCUUCGACUCCCUAUGAUUGCAUCUCUGACCCAACCAAUCAGCACUCCUGACUCACUGGCUCCACCACCCACCAACUUAUCCUUAAAAACUCUUAUCCCUGA
Molecule: long non-coding RNA, 253 nt
Filed under: Pan troglodytes (chimpanzee)
Lineage: Eukaryota; Metazoa; Chordata; Mammalia; Primates; Hominidae
Description: long non-coding RNA NONPTRT009155
Source: RNAcentral